RNAcentral lists this long non-coding RNA (317 nucleotides) under Capsella rubella. Its description in RNAcentral is "long non-coding RNA (CRUB_LNC003440)". The record is from RNAcentral. Lineage: Eukaryota; Viridiplantae; Streptophyta; Magnoliopsida; Brassicales; Brassicaceae.
AGACCAAUUAUAAAUUAUAAUACUUUCUAAAUAUUAUAUUUUUCUCAUUUAUAUGGCUAAAAGCCUAUGAAUAAAUAUGACAACUUAUCGUGAAUUUCAAGUAAUCAUGUCUACCUUUUUUUUUUUUCCAGAUGAAUCUACUUUAAUUGUUAUUUACGAAAAUGAAAACUGCUUCAGUUAUCAGGACCUAAACAACCAAAAAAUCAAGAAUUUUUAUUUUCUAGAUGGUCAUGUUGACAUGUUGUAAGAGAGAAAUUAAAAUUUUAUUUUGAUUGACACAUUCGCUCAAACAAGCGAGUAUAACAUACACACGUACG